ACAGCCCCGUACACAAAAGCUCACAUGCUGUGAGCUCGAUGAGUAGGGCGGGACACGUGGUAUCCUGUCUGAAUAUGGGGGGACCAUCCUCCAAGGCUAAAUACUCCUGACUGACCGAUAGUGAACCAGUACCGUGAGGGAAAGGCGAAAAGAACCCCGGCGAGGGGAGUGAAAAAGAACCUGAAACCGUGUACGUACAAGCAGUGGGAGCACAGGUUUACCUGUGUGACUGCGUACCUUUUGUAUAAUGGGUCAGCGACUUAUAUUCUGUAGCAAGGUUAACCGUAUAGGGGAGCCGUAGGGAAA
RNAcentral lists this ribosomal RNA (306 nucleotides) under Salmonella enterica subsp. enterica serovar Worthington. RNAcentral describes it as "bacterial LSU rRNA". It matches the Rfam family "Bacterial large subunit ribosomal RNA", at positions 367 to 676 of the family's 2925-position model. The record is from RNAcentral. Lineage: Bacteria; Pseudomonadati; Pseudomonadota; Gammaproteobacteria; Enterobacterales; Enterobacteriaceae.